AGGUUGGGAACCACUGCACUUGUAUGCACUAAAAUGCACGCUUGGCUUGCCCGGCUAUGUAAACAAAGCACAGAGAAGUCCGGAUUAUAACACACACAGAGGGAGAGUGACUUCAUUCUCUGCUCAGGUAGACAUUAGUCCUCUAUAUCUUUACAUUGCAAAUAGUU
Long non-coding RNA from Sebastes umbrosus (honeycomb rockfish), 167 nucleotides. RefSeq lists it as uncharacterized. NCBI's taxonomy places the organism in Eukaryota, Metazoa, Chordata, Actinopteri, Perciformes, Sebastidae. The transcript is spliced from 3 exons. The record is from RefSeq and is a predicted model, not a curated record.